GAUGAAGAACGUAGCGAAAUGCGAUAAGUAAUGUGAAUUGCAGAAUUCAGUGAAUCAUCGAAUCUUUGAACGCACAUUGCGUCCGCUGGUAUUCCGGCGGGCAUGCCUGUUCGAGCGUCAUUUCAACCCUCAAGCUCUCCGGAGUUUGGUGUUGGGGCGCCUGGGGCUUUUCGACCUCAGGGCCCUCAAGUCCAUCGGCGGGACCGCCAGGACACUGAGCGCAGUAGUAUUAUUUCGCUCGGUAGGAUCUUCCACGGCGGGUCGAUCUGGCCGCUAAACCCCCCAAUUCUCACCAAAGGUUGACCUCGGAUCAGGUAGGAAUACCCGCUGAACUUAAGCAUAUCAAUAAGCGGAGGA
RNAcentral lists this unclassified non-coding RNA (357 nucleotides) under soil metagenome. Its description in RNAcentral is "partial contains 5.8S ribosomal RNA, internal transcribed spacer 2, and large subunit ribosomal RNA". The stretch from base 1 to 120 matches the Rfam family "5.8S ribosomal RNA", at positions 35 to 154 of the family's 154-position model. The record is from RNAcentral.